UUCCUUAUGCUCAUCUAAUGUUCCUUACUCUUAUGACUAGAAAUUUGUUAAAAAAAAAGUUUCUAAAUACAUACUAUGAUGUCAAAAUGAGUCAAUCCCACGCAUGAUUAAUUAAUUGGGGUUUACUUUAAUCCAGAUGUUUUUU
This 145-nucleotide small RNA is filed under the name Arabidopsis thaliana (thale cress). RNAcentral's name for it is "ATSL106670". The record is from RNAcentral. Lineage: Eukaryota; Viridiplantae; Streptophyta; Magnoliopsida; Brassicales; Brassicaceae.